GACGAACGCUGGCGGCGUGCUUAACACAUGCAAGUCGAACGGAAAGGCCCUGCUUUUGUGGGGUGCUCGAGUGGCGAAAGGGUGAGUAACACGUGAGUAACCUGCCCUUGACUUUGGGAUAACUUCAGGAAACUGGGGCUAAUACGGGAUAGGAGCUCCUGCUGCAUGGUGGGGGUUGGAAAGUUUCGGCGGUUGGGGAUGGACUCGCGGCUUAUCAGCUUGUUGGUGGGGUAGUGGCUUACCAAGGCUUUGACCGGUAGCCGGCCUGAGAGGGUGACCAGCCACAUUGGGACUAAGAUACGGCCCAGACUCCUACAGGAGGCAGCAGUGGGGAAUAUUGCUCAAUGGGCGGAAGCCUGAUCCAGCAACGCCGCGUGCGGGAUGACGGCCUUCGGGUUGUAAACCGCUUUCGCCUGUCACGAAGCGUGAGUGACGGUAAUGGGUAAAGAAGCACCGGCUAACUACGUG
RNAcentral lists this ribosomal RNA (468 nucleotides) under uncultured bacterium. RNAcentral's name for it is "partial 16S ribosomal RNA". It matches the Rfam family "Bacterial small subunit ribosomal RNA", at positions 28 to 507 of the family's 1533-position model. The record is from RNAcentral.